UUCCUCUAGUUCCACCAGUUGGCACAAAACCUGCAACUAAAAAUAGUCCCACCAUAUCAUCUCUAAGCCUGGUCUGACUACAGGGUGGCUCAGCCUAAGAAUAGAGCCUGCUGAGCUUGAUAAGAAAGACUGAUCUGGGCACACCCUGUCCCUCCCAGAGUCCUGCAAGCCUCUGCAGAAGCCUCUGCUUCAAAAACCCUUUGAAGGAAAGCUAAAGAAUUUUUUUCCUCUGCUAACCAAAAUAACACCAGUGUAUUUUGAAGCUAGUUUUCAGCAGUGGUUCUCCUGGCUGAGAGUAUGUUUUCUAGAUUUAGAAAAGGAAAUAAAUGUCCUAAGGCCCUAACCAGAACAAGAAAUCAUGAGUUAGUCCAUACUUGAGAAUGAUCAUAGAUGAAUCCAUAAAUCUGUAACUAUAAUGAAAAAAUGUCCUACAGUCACAAUGUUUUUACAGUUGUCUAUUUACAGAAUAUCUAUUGAUGAUCUGACCAACAUUUGUACCCUCUGAUGCUAUACAAGUUUUGUAGGAACCUGGUGCAGAAUUUAGUUUUAAAAAAAUCAGGGUGAGAGCUAGGCCUGUCAUUUCCAAGGUAAGUGCUCUUAAGGCCAGUUAAUCUCUCUGCACCUGUUAAUCUGCAAAAUGGUGGUAAUACAAGAACCAACUUGAAUCGUUCACAUAAAAUCGUGUAUGCACAGUGCUUACAUAGCAAAUUACAGCUGUUAGCUAUUUAUCACUGACCUUCCGUCUUCCCCUCACUUUUUCACAGGUGCAGUGCUCCCCCUGUCACUGGGUCUGACCAUCACUGCUUUGCUGCUUCUCAUGGUUGCUUGCAGACUGAGACUGGUGAAGCAGAAACUUAAAAAAGCUCGUCCCAUUACAUCUGAGGAAUCCGACUACCUCAUAAAUGGGAUGUAUCUGUAAGCAGUGUAAUAAACUCCUCCCCAGCUCCCGGCAGCCCUGGCUCCCUGUGCCCACUUCCCAUUCUGUGGCCCUCCUCUUCCAUUCAGCUAUGUGGUUUCCUUUCUCUUCUCCCUUCGAGACCUGUUCCUGAGAGUGGAUUUCAAUUGAGUUUCUAACUUCAAUGAAACGUUACCUAAUGGCAGGAAUAUCUAAAUUGUAAUCCUCACGGACAUGCCACCGAGGCCUCAGAGAGGGUGAAUGUGUGUUCUUCCCAAGAGUCAUGCGGUGAUAGGAAGUCAAGGUAGAUUCAGAAAACCUGGCAGGGCAAUAAUCAUCAGAAAUUUAGCUGAGGGCAAAGUGAGCGAGGAUGACAAUCGGUAUUUUCUUCUGUCUACUCAGCACUGCUUGAGUUCAGAACACAGCAGCUCAUUUACACAGUCAGUUCUCAACAUUAGCCUGUGUUCAUGGAGGAGAAAAAUGCAUUCAAGUUGAAAAGCAGAACAUUGAAUGGCUUUGGGGGAACACCUUUUGUAAAAAUGUCACAUUUAAGUAUCAGCAGGUUUUUUCAUCCCAAGGAAUAAGCCAGUUUUCCCCAUUACUUCUUUAAUGCAUUAGAAUGUUAGAAUGUGCAAUGAGCUAAUGCCAGGCUUAUGUGUUCCCAGAGCAAAAAGCAGUUUUCACAAAUUCAUGUUUACAAAAAACUGGCAUCUAGCUUUGCAUCUUUUCCCUUCUAAUCAGUUGGUAGGAUUCUGAAGCCAGUUAUUCCCAUCAUCACUGAAUGCCUGGAUUAUACACAUUCUAGAAAUUAUCCUGAGGAAUCUACAGUGUGGUCCCUGUCUAUACUCACAUGAUGUUCCUAUUUACAUUUUUUUUACUGUAAGUGGCAAAUCUUUUAAAAUACUUGAAAACACUCCAGAACACUUUAUUACCAGACUGAACCAGAGGUUGUUCCUUUAACAAGGGGCUUAAUUUAGGUUGGAGACAUAACAGAAUAACAAAUGGAAAAUUAAAUCUAGGAAAAAUAAAUUGGUAUUUUUACUUCCUGAGAAACUCAUUUUGUUGAAUGCACAGAACUGAGCAGAGAUUUAAAUUUCUCCCCAAGGAGAGUUCAGAGAAGUGACUGUGUGAAUGAACUUAAGAUGUUUGUACCCUCUAUGUGAUGCUGUGUAGUUUUUUCCCUAGAAGGAUGUCACUUACAGCCAUACUCAAUAAACUAGAAACUGAUGAGGCAUACGUCUUUCAGCACAUCUUUUAUACACGAAGAAAUUAAAGUUUAGUAUUGCUGUGGUGUUGAAAUACUUGCAAAAAGAUGUCCUGUAUCUAUGUGUACUAUAUUCCUUUAAUAAAUUGUAUUUUAUUCUUAA
Manis javanica (Malayan pangolin) is the source of this 2262-nucleotide non-coding RNA. Lineage: Eukaryota; Metazoa; Chordata; Mammalia; Pholidota; Manidae. The record is from RefSeq and is a predicted model, not a curated record.